GGGAAAGUGGCUCAGUGGUAGAGCGCUUGUCUUGCAUGCAUGAGGUCCUGGGUUCGAUUCCUCAGCACCA
This 70-nucleotide transfer RNA is filed under the name Dipodomys ordii (Ord's kangaroo rat). It matches the Rfam family "tRNA". From Rfam's summary of the family: Transfer RNA (tRNA) molecules are approximately 80 nucleotides in length. Their secondary structure includes four short double-helical elements and three loops (D, anti-codon, and T loops). The record is from Rfam by way of RNAcentral. Lineage: Eukaryota; Metazoa; Chordata; Mammalia; Rodentia; Heteromyidae.